CCUACGGGAGGCAGCAGUGAGGAAUAUUGGUCAAUGGGCGGGAGCCUGAACCAGCCAAGCCGCGUGAGGGAAGAAGGUACAGCGUAUCGUAAACCUCUUUUGUCAGGGAACAAAGGCGGGGACUAGUCCCCGGAUGAGGGUACCUGAAGAAAAAGCAUCGGCUAACUCCGUGCCAGCAGCCGCGGUAAUACGGAGGAUGCGAGCGUUAUCCGGAUUUAUUGGGUUUAAAGGGUGCGCAGGCGGCCUGUUAAGUCAGCGGGAAAAGCCCGGGGCUCAACCCCGGCGAGCCGUUGAAACUGGCGGGCUGGAGUUGGGGAGAAGUACGCGGAAUGCGCGGUGUAGCGGUGAAAUGCUUAGAUAUCGCGCAGAACCCCGAUGGCGAAGGCAGCGUACCGGCGCCACACGGACGCUGAGGCACGAAAGCGUGGGUAUCGAACAGGAUUAGAGACCCUUGUAGUC
This 459-nucleotide ribosomal RNA is filed under the name uncultured bacterium. RNAcentral's name for it is "partial 16S ribosomal RNA". It matches the Rfam family "Bacterial small subunit ribosomal RNA", at positions 338 to 795 of the family's 1533-position model. The record is from RNAcentral.